AUGAGAAGAACGGUACAUUCACGGUUAGGAGUGCUUAUCAUCUUGGAGUUUCUUGGGGGGGGGGGGUCUAAUGAAGGAUCCUCAAAAAACCCCAGUAUUGCUAGGGAGAGCUUAUGGAAUCUAGUCUGGAAAGCAAAGGUACCACAUAAAGUCCGUACCUUCACCUGGAGGGCUGCCACUGAUUCUCUCCCUACAAAGGACAAGCACAGGAGGACUCUUGAAUUGGGUGGUAUAUGCAACCUAUGUGGACUGCGAUUGAAAACGCACAUCAUACUACCAUUGUAUGCACAAAAUAGAGAGCUCUUCGUGAGGAAAUGA
Molecule: ribosomal RNA, 318 nt
Filed under: Triticum aestivum (bread wheat)
Lineage: Eukaryota; Viridiplantae; Streptophyta; Magnoliopsida; Poales; Poaceae
Description: partial small subunit ribosomal RNA
Source: RNAcentral